Molecule: ribosomal RNA, 546 nt
Filed under: uncultured bacterium
Lineage: Bacteria
Description: bacterial SSU rRNA
Rfam family: Bacterial small subunit ribosomal RNA
Source: RNAcentral
UGCCGCGUGAAUGAUGAAGUCUAGAUUGUAAAUUCUUUCAGCGGGGACGAUAAUGACGGUACCCGCAGAAGAAGCCCCGGCUAACUUCGUGCCAGCAGCCGCGGUAAUACGAAGGGGGCUAGCGUUGCUCGGAAUUACUGGGCGUAAAGGGCGCGUAGGCGGAUGUUUAAGUCAGAGGUGAAAGCCCAGGNCUCAACCUUGGAACUGCCUUUGAUACUGGACAUCUUGAGUAUGGGAGAGGUGAGUGGAACUCCGAGUGUAGUGGUGAAAUUCGUAGAUAUUCGGAAGAACACCAGUGGCGAAGGCGACUCACUGGCCCAUUACUGACGCUGAGGCGCGAAAGCGUGGGGAGCAAACAGGAUUAGAUACCCUGGUAGUCCACGCUGUAAACGAUGAGUGCUAGUUGUCGGCAUGCAUGCAUGUCGGUGACGCAGUUAACGCAUUAAGCACUCCGCCUGGGGAGUACGGUCGCAAGAUUAAAACUCAAAGGAAUUGGCGGGGGCCCGCACAAGCGGUGGAGCAUGUGGUUUUAUUCGAAAGCGACGC